RNAcentral lists this ribosomal RNA (501 nucleotides) under uncultured bacterium. RNAcentral's name for it is "partial 16S ribosomal RNA". It matches the Rfam family "Bacterial small subunit ribosomal RNA", at positions 28 to 523 of the family's 1533-position model. The record is from RNAcentral.
GAUGAACGCUAGCGGCAGGCCUAACCCAUGCAAGUCGAGGGGCAGCACAGAAACAGCAAUGUUUUGGUGGCGACCGGCGGACGGGGGCGUAACGCGGAUGCAACCUACCUUUAACAGGGGGAUAACGGAGAGAAAUUUCCACUAAUACCCCAUAACAUCGAUCAAGGCAUCGUGAUUGGUUGAAAACUACGGUGGUUAAAGACGGGCAUGCGUUGUAUGAGGUAGUUGGUGAGGUAAUGGCCCACCACGCAUACGAUACAUAGGGGGACUGAGGGGUUAGCCCCCACACUGGUACUGAGACACGGACCAGACGCCUGAGGGAGGCGGCACUGAGGAAUAUUGGUCAAUGGGGGCAACCCUGAACCAGCCAUGCCGCGUGCCGGAAGACGGCUCUAUGAGUUGUAAACUGCUUUUAAACAGGGAUAAAGCACAGUAUGUAUACUGUGUUGAAGGUACUGUAAGAAUAAGGAUCGGCUAACUCCGUGCCAGCCGCCGCCGUAA